CUGACCAGGUUCCUCAUUUUCCAAAGAGGCUAUUUCUGACAAGUUUUCAGGGAUUAAGGGCUGGAUACAGGUGGGUUUCUUCCCCUCCUGCUUGCUGUCACCUGGACAUUACAUUACCAUGGGGAUAAUCCUCCCUGAAACAAAAAUAAAGGGCAGAACCGGUUGGACAGAAAGUGUAGCCCAAAACUCUGAGACUGAGAGGUUAGGGACUUGCAGGCUAGAGGAGCUCCUAGGGUCAGGCCCAGAGGAGGGAGAGGUGAAAGAGGAGGGCACCUUGAACUGGGGGAGAGCACAGAUUAAAAUCCCGUUGGACUGUUUAAGAGAGAUCUUGAGUUGUGAUCCUUCAUGGAUUCUUCUUUCUGCAACCCACAGUCCUGUCGGGAGGGGUAGGAGCAGCAGGGUGGUAAUCCCCCAGUGCGGGUUUGAUGUAUGAGAAAGGGAAGGAGGCCCAGGAUUAUAAUCUGCUCUGCAAAGUCUUGUGAGCUAUGCAGUGUUUGAGGUUUUUGGCUUCUUGAAACCCAGAGGUUUAGGGAGGUGAUUUUUUUUUACUAUGUCAGCACCAACCGAGAAACUAGUUUUUGGAGUUGAGAACAUAACAACCCUCCCCCCCUCCCCCCAGCUCCAGGAAGAAGACUGGAUUUUAUUUUCUGCUGAAAAAUGCACUAGGCUCCUGAAGAGAGGAGGGUCCAGCUCUGUGACUGGCUGUGGUACUCAGCUUAAUCUGAGCACACAGGGAAGCUGAAGCAGUAGGAUCAGAGGAUCACAAGUUCGAGCCCAUCAAAGCAGUUUAGGAAUGUGGGGAAACCACGUCUCAAAAAGCGAAGGAGUGAAGCCCCCCACUCUCGGUUCCAUUUCUCCAAUACGGGGAAGGGGGAAGGAAAAAAAAAUCUGGUAGAAAGAUCUGAAGGAUUGGCAGAUUCUAAGAGAAAAUGCUCUUGGCUCAUGGAUCAUCUCUCUGUUGGUACAGAACAAUGACUUCAGUUUUAGGUCCAAUGGUCUGUUUCUCCAGAGAUCCCAAAAAGAAAGAGAGACAAAGAGGAAAGAAAAUAGGCUGAGAUCUGUGUAGGGUGGUUUUGCAUGCAGCCUCCCUGGGGGUAGGGUGGUGGUUUGGCAACUUGGCUGAACUUUUAAAUUCUUCCUGGCCCUCAAGUAUGAGACCUGUACAUUGUUGGGUGACACAUGGAUGAGGCAGGAGCUCAUCUUUCACCUGUCAGGUAUGCAGUGGGUACCUAUUAAUUGCUGGGGGGCACUAGUGAGGAACAGAACAGAAAACGUCUUUGCUCUCCAUCACUAGAGGAAAGUCAGGCUCUCAAAGGACACACAGACUAGGAAGCACUAAAAGCUGUGAAAACCAUUGAGGGGUAAAGGGAUAGAGAGCAGUGGGGGUGGACCAUUCAGGGUGUGGCCAGGAAGGGUUUUUCUGGGAGGUGAUGUUUGAACAGAGAGCUGGCAGAGGCCUGGGGGAGGAAUGUUCUAGGCCAGGGUUCAACAGACACUGGCCCCUGCACCAAAUCCUGCCAGCCUAUGUUGUUGUAAAGGAGUUUCACGGGAGCCCAGCCAUGUCCGUGGCUUGGUCAUCAUCUGGGCUGCAUUCUUGUGAUUAUGGCCACGCUGAGGAUUGGUGAUUCUGGUGGGAUUUGACCCACUGAAUCUCAGUGGCACUUAAUCCUUAGCAGAAAAAGUCUGCUACUUCCAUCUGAGCAGGAGCACUGUCCUCUCAGAUCCCCUCUUCUAGGGGCAUGGACAUUUAAAUUGUUCCACCUCAUGGGCCCAGCAGCAGCAGAGAACUCUUCAGCAAGCAUACUUCCCAUGUCACAAGGUUCACCAAUACGGACUCCAGGAGUAGAGUUUCUGUACAUUAGGAUGAGUACAUAUGUGAAUAGAAAGCUUUUAACAGGCAACUUUAAUCAGACUGUAGAACCUGCUUCAGCUUAUCCUACCCUGUAUCAUUCUCCUCCACAGGGCAGAUGUGGCUUAGUGCCACUGAGGGAGACCUGCCUUCCUGUGGCGUGUUGUUUCUCAGAAAUUCCAGUAUGCUGUCAAAUGAACCUGUCACACCAGCACUUAAAAAGCUGUGAAGGCCUGGUAUGAGUGAUGGCCCAACCUCACUGUCUAAUAGUAUGGAUUUUUGAAUAUUUUACUUAUUUUCCUAUUCCCACAAGGUCCCAUGUCUAGAUUGGAAACUUCCUAAGAUCCUGAUCUGUGUCUCAUUUAUCUUGUAUUCCCAAGGCCUGCUCAAGUGUUGACCUCUAAUAGAAAUGGCACAGAUCCAUUCUGAAUAAAGGAUAUGGCCACCUGCAAAACUUUCCUGCAAAAUAGAAACUUAUGAACUGGGAAAAAAAUCACGUACACUCAGUAGCUGAACAGCAAUGAGUCUGGGUAUUACCUUGUUGUUUUGUUCUUUUCUUCUUCUUCCAGAGGAAGGCUAUCACAAUAUAAAGUCACGAGCAUCCUGCAGGCCUGUUAAUGUGCCAAACAGGGUCACUGGCUGUCAGGACCACAGAGAGCAGGAGCAGGGUACAUCAUUGCACAUUCUCACCUGUGCUCUUGUGUACCCGUGUCUUUCUUAACAUUCUGGGCUCUGCCACAAGAAGAGAGUCUGCAUUUCCACAAAGCAACCUCAGCCUUCAGAGGUUUUUCUUCUACUUGUUUAAUUCACUUGAUCUUGAACCUGUGGCAUUUCUUUUAGCUUUUGCUAGAAGGCCAGGUUUUCUGAGGUCCAAUUGCAGCUGACUACUUAACCGGUUUCUAGAGGGCUAGCUCUGGGCUCAUAAGUUGGGAGCCUACAACUAAAAGAAACCAUGUUAGUAUCUCUCACAAGCUUACAUUGGUUGGGUUCUGAAGAAAUAAAAAUAGAAAGGAAAAAGUCAUACGUACUUAGUGUCUAUAAGUAGAAAGUAGCACACUGAGGGUUUGGAGUUGGAUGGACCCAGUCACACCCUGAAGUCCCGAUUUGUUUCAACUGACCCUGCAAGGUCCUGCAAAAUUUCCCGUCUGAAACUCCCACCAAAAUGCCUCAAGACAGGGCCAGAGGGCUGGGAGAAGGUGGUGCUGGUUUCUUCAGGAUCCUUUCCGUUGAUGGUCCAAGAAACUCCAUGUGCAAGUUGGGACUCCAAGGAGGUAGGCCCUGGUCCCUGAACCAGACAAGUAUACUGAACAACACUGACAUCAAAUCUUCCAAAUGCGACUUUUCUUUCUUUAUAGUGUUUAUUUAAUUGACACUCUUACCUUUUCGUGAACCAGGAAGUUUGACAGUUUAACUUCCCGCUGAUCUCACGAGAAGAUACUGAAGAGUGAAAAUGCCUGGUCGGAGAGAGGGAGCUGGGAGGAAGCCUGGUGACAGCCACCCAAGGAGCCGCUGGUGGUGAUUCUCCGGGCCUCCCCUGGAGGGGGCAGGGGGGCCAUAGUGGUGACAGAGUUGCCUUUGCUUCUGUCGGCUGGGUGGCUGCCAGUGCGGGAUUUAAUUAUUUCAUUUAUGUAGCUUUGCUGCUGCAGAUUUUUAAAUGUUGAAAGCCACCCAUUUAUAAGCCUUGGCCUCAUAUUCUGAGUAUUAGGGCCGUGGCGUUUUCUAUAGCCUGCAUAUUGAUAUGCACACUGCAGACAGAGGUGGAGAAAAUUAAUGCCAGAGGAGGCCAGUCUCGGGAGCCUUUCCUUCUGGGCCUGUUUCUCCGUGGGUAAGGCGGAAAGAGGGAAGAGAUGUUAGAAGGCCCUGCUAGGACUUAGCAGGCAUUUCGAAUGAGGCCUAUCCCUGUCUCCCCAGGAUUGUCCAUGAUCCUCCUUACUCUAGCCCCUACAUAGGCCAUGAUAAGCAGAUGCCCUCUGUCCUCAAGCUCUGAUAAGCAAGGCAUGACCCCAGGGAGAGGGUCUAAAUACUCUUGCUUUUGACUUCCAGAAAUGCUCACACCUUUUUAUCACAGGUUAGUGCAGCUCACAUGGCUGCUAUAAAUGGAGCCCUGAGGAAUGAUGGCAUUUGAGUUCCAGAAGGCCUGAAUACAGACUGCCCAUGGGACGUGAAAUUGUGGGUCGGGAGCCAGGCAGACUUGGGCAAAAAGAACUACUCAGGUCCCAAACUGAGGCCAGGUUUUAGUAUUUCAGCUAUUUACAUUUUUUUAAUUGAAAUGCUUUAAAAGCAAUGGUUUUAAACAGAGGUUGGUGGACCCCCUACAACACACCAAACUCCAAAACAUCAGACAGUUUCUAGAGACAAUUUGGGUUGUCACAACUGAUAGGGGUGAUAAAAGAUGCUCCUGGUAUCCAGUGAACACAAGUGGUCAGUAUCCCAGUUAAAUCCUGUAUACAAUGCACAGGAUGAGUGGUGACACAGAAUAAUCUGGCCCAAUAUUCCCAUUGGUCUGGAGCUAAGAAACAUUAUUUUAUAGCAAAUUUAAUGAACCAGUAUCACUUGUUCAGUCAAAGCAAGUAUGCAAACAGCGAGUGCAAAAAAAAAUCACAACAAUAUCCAUAAGGUGCACACAUAGUUCUUCUAAUGGAGGGAAAUUAGCUCCUGGAGAGAGAUUAGAGAUGCAGAUGCACUAUAGGGAGGCCUUCUCCUGGAAUAGAAUCAGAGGGAUGAAAAAGGAUGCAUGAGGACGAUGCUUUCUCCUCCUGUGAUUCGAUGCUUCUUGGUGUUGUGUCUGUCCUAUCCCCACAGCCAGACUCACUGCCUAAGGGAUGUUCCCUGUGGCAAACUGAGAAGUGCUGUCCAAGUGUCCCAGGCUCAAGUCUCAGUUACUAAGUGUCACUGCCUUGGAAGAGCCCUGUCCCUCUGGCCUCAUGAGUCCCCAGAGCUAAUAAUUAGACGUAAAUGGGAGUCCAUUCUCUCUUUUUUCACAGGUAGUUAUAAUAAUAAUAUCCCCCUUUGGGCAUAGGCUUUUUCAUCUUCAAAGCACUUUAUAAACAUGAGCUAAUCUUCCUGCUCCCUGGUGAGGUCAGAAGUCCUGUAUUUACUGGAGGGAGCCACCAAGGCAGGAGAACCAAAUGAGUCACCGCAGCCCUGGCUGGGAGUCAGAUUUAGCAUCCAGUGAGGAUUUUUGCUGAAUUUAGUCUUCACUAUGGUGGUUGCAGGACUGAGCAAGACAGAUGGGAAGGUCCCCUCCCCUGUUAGAGCACACGCCCAGGCUGUCAUCCCCCGCUUCUGCCGCCAAGCCAUUUCCAGGAGGACCAUCUUCAGCAUGCAGAGUUGGUCAAGACUUCACAAAUAUUUCUACUGAAUUGUUACCAAGAAAACCUUUGCUUUAUGAAUUUUUGUUUUAUUACUUUGCUAAAGCAAAUACACUCCAGAAAGACAUGCGGUGUUCCACUUCAGUCAAAAACUAUGCCUCAGAGCUCCAUGUCUCUUCUUUUCAGUUCUAAGGAAAACUCAUAAGAAAUGCCAACUUAUAACACAUGACAUUUUUCAACUGUGCAGGUUAUUUCUAUGCUGCUGGAGCCAACGCUGGAGUGCUAAGGUGGACUUCUGAUUUGAAAGGCCCUCGGGCUCCAUAGGGCUUUUGACCUAAAAGUAAAAUAAAACCUUGGCUCAUGUUUGAAAUAGGCCUAUCAGUUUACACUGAACCCUUUGCUUUCUUUUCUGAAUGUCUUUCUGUCUCUAUUUUCCAUAGAGACAGACUCACAAAAGUAGACCCGUGGUAGAAUGUUUUGUGGUUCUCUCUUGAGGACUUCUAUAGAUAGGACUGUGGCCUAGCCAGUGUUGUUAGCAAGGCCACUGUCACCCAUCAUCCCAGGGCCUUGGGGGGGCUGGAUUGUGAAUAGUAGUCCAGAUGCGGUUCCACUCUCUGCCAUCUAAUUUUUACCCUCAUAUUUCCAUGGGACCGUCGCAUCUCUUUCCUACAGCAAAUAGAAUUCCUACAUAAACUGUCUCCCUUGUCUCUUUGCAAAGGGCAAACGAGUCUCUCUCAGCUUUAGUUUUUGCAGACUCAGCCUCCCAGGGCACAGACCUGAAACGCAGUUGCUCAUUCCCUGUGUUUACUUUUAUUUCCAGCCACAUCUGGAGGCCAAAAUUCAUAAAUUUAUUGCCAAGCCUUACAACAGUUUACUGAGUUUGUACGUUAAGGAAAGGGGGAAAAAAAUGAGCUCCUGACUUGUCGAGUGUAAAAUGGAUGGAGAAAUCGGUGGGCAGAUCAUAAACCCCAAGCGUGUUUAUUAACAUCUGUGGCCUGCCUGCAGACGGCGAAGGCGUGAGUCGGCUGUGUUUGUCUUGGAGGUUGAGCCCAGAGAGUUCCAUGGUGUGUUCUCCAUAUACAUCCAGCCAGGCAUCUUUUUAACCCACCAGAGACCAGGGAAGGGAAACAAGGGCCGUUCAGAAGUGGAGGGCUGCAGGUCCCAAGUGGGGAGAGCAGGAUGGGCACCCAGCUCUGUUUACAGUAGAGCUGUGCAGUGGGUGGGCCAAUUCUUGUGACGUACAUGAGGCUUAAAAAAUGGUCAUAAAUCUGUUGUCUGUCAAACAGGGCUGGCAUUUUCCUUUCCUUUCACAACUAUGGUUUGUAUGACCAAAAAAGAAAAAAAAAAAAACCCACAAGAAAUCCUCUAAGGGCUUAUGAGUGGUGUCCUUGGGUCCCACAGGUGGGGUGGAAUCCCCCAGGAGCACAGUGGAGGAUUUCACUGGAGGCUGUGUGCUCCCCUCACUGCCCCACUGGAUGGACCUCAGCUGUAGCUCCAUGUUCUCCAGAGCGGUUUUUACCAUGGCUCAGGUCAGGUUGCUGUGGGUCAGGCAGGAACACCCUGAACAAGCCAGUAGCUGCUGUAAGUUGCUGCUUUUCUACCAUAAAUAAAGCCAAAACCAAGGUGUGCUGAGGGCCCCAGGGUGAGUGGGAGAGGGAUGUGCUGAUAGUGGCUGCUAGCCAUGGACCCUCUGACUGGAGAGAAAUGUGCUGGGGAUGUCCUUUUAGCAGGCGGUUUGGCUCUUGGGGACCUCACGUCUGAGGUAAGUCCGCCAAAGAAAAGGGCACUUUUUGUGGUCAGAGCCUGCGCUUGGACCAAGCGCUUGGACACAGGGCGUAUGUGCCUGGGGAGGGCGUGGCCCACCAAGGAGGAGAAAAACCCCCUGUCUCUGCAAAGCGUGGCUGCCAGGUCUCUGGAUUCAGGGAACAGUGGAUGACUGUUGGGAAGCUUGGCUGGCCCAGCGUCCAGGUGUGCCCUGGCCAGUCAGCUGUGUCAUCUCAUGACAAGGAGUAUGAGGGUCCGCAUGUCUACUUGGGGCCCCCUAGUACUCAUCUCUGUCUACCCAAAGCUGAGUUUUCCAUGUGCCCUGGGAACAACCCCUUCAGCAUCACUGAGUCUCCCGUUGAUCUUGACUGUGAUGCAGGCUGGGCACAGGUCAGGGCCCAUCCUCAACCCCCAGAGUUUUGCAUUCUGUUUCCUACAUAGACAGUGCCUGAACCAAGGUGCAGACCACUGGAUCUGAAAACUCCCUGAUUUUCAGGGCCUUUUCCCUGGCCCCUGGCCACACUCCCCUGCUUGGUUACUUAGGCAGCAUUGUUCAAGGGUAUAAAACCAGCUGGGCCAAUGUGGUUAGGCUGGGGCUUAACUCAGUGGACUGGGAUUUCCCUGUGGAUUGAGGGGUGGGCAUAGACCGUCCCCAGUGAGGACCCUUGGAAGGAACCUGGCCAGUGACGGGCCAGUACUUUUCCAUUGGCAGGUGGGGCAGGGUGGAGAAGGACUUUGAGCCCUAGUGACCAAGCAGCCUAGGGAUUUUCCAGGCUACCCUGGGGAGGUUAUCUCAGCUAGGGACAGGGAAUCAAAAGUUCUAAAUAGACUUAACACUCGCAGGUGAUAAAAUGUUGAUCAAACAUGUUGGGGCCCCCAUCAGUGCUGUCCUGGAACCACCUGGGCUUGAAGGGGAAGAAACCUUGGCAAUCUGAGUCAUGUCUAAGGCAGCAGCUUCUGACUUUGCUUCCUUCCUUCCUUCAAAUGUUGCUGCUGCUGGGGGCACAGAUGCAGGUUGGCUAUCAAAGGGCUCUCCACUGUCUUACCUUACUGGGAUCGUGUCUGUAGUUUAUGAGAAUGAGCACUGCCUAGCCUUAUGUCCUCAGGUCUCCUAAGACCAGUGGUUUUUAAAGAAUUUUUACUGUUUGAAGCAUUGAUUUGGAGCUGGGUGCCCACAAUAUUGUCUGUGGGUAGGCAGAGGUACCCCCCCGUGUUAAUGCUGUAAUGGCUGACUUUGUUGUGUUGUUCAAGUGUCAGCUUGAUUUCAUUUCCUCAGGGGAGCCUUUGCUGUCGCUGUGACCCUCUUCCCACUCCCAUAGCAUUUUCUUUUGCAGGACCCUCGUGAUUUAUAAUUGAAUGUGGUUACUUAUCUAUGAGCCAUGUCCAUCUCUAGAACACAGUCACAUGAGCAGAGGCUCGGAUGUCGACUUUAUCAUUGACAGAGUCCAGCUAUCAGCAUGGCACCUGAUGUCCAUAGAUACCCAAUCAGUAUUUGAGUUAAUGCCAGCAGUGGGGAGAGUAGGGUGUACAGCUCCUUACCUCCACCUGCUGAUAGGUAGUUAUGCCUUUCUAUGUUUCUGGUUUUGUUUUGUUUUUGUACUUGGCAGAAAGAAAGAAGGCAGGAGCCAUUCAUAUUCAUGCUUGAUUAUGGAUCUCUCCAAAGUACAGAUGAUCAGAGUCCUGGGAUUAUGGUCUAUUUAUUUUAGAGGGAGAAAAGCGAUGAAAAGCUAGAUCAUAGUUUCUAUUUAUAGUUGUUAUUACAGUGAUGAAUAAUUGCAUAGGUAUUUUUCUUAUAAGACAGAGUUCAAUCUUGUUUCUUGGCAGAUGUCUGAAAGUACUGUUUUUUGGUGUUGCCUGUUUUUAGUACUAGGGAUUAAACCCAAGGCCUUUGCACUGAGCUACACCCUCCCCCUUUGCCAAACCUCUUUGAGAAGGGUCUUUUAUUGAUCUAUCCAGACUGGACUCAUACAUAUGGUCCUCCUUCCUCAGCCUCCCAGAAUGUUCCACCAUACCUGACUAAUACUGGGUUUUGAUUUGACAUUAGUAUGGGGUAAAUCCAUAGUUCUUUCUGCUAGAAACUGUAUGAGAGGUAUCCUGGUCAUUGGCGAGGCUACUCAUCAGCUUGACACUUCCUGUAAGAGGACUCAAAGAGCCUAUGGUUUUUGUCACUUACUACAACAUCCCUGUAAACUGAGAGUCUGCCUAAGUGUUAAAACUCUGGCAUCAUCUUCAGAGUUUCUGGUUGAAAGGCCCAGGACAGUUUUGAAAAUCCCAGUGUGAGUCCUGCAGGCGCUAAGGUCUAAUUGAUGAUUCCUGCGCUGGGAAACCUGCAUUCUUAAGCCCAGCUUUACCAGGGGUGGCGGCGUGGGAGGGAGGCUUGGCUUUUACUAAAUAUCUAACCUGUGCAUUUGUAAAGAUGUAAGGAAAGGAUAGGUAUAAACCCCAGAGGGUAAGGAUAGUUUUGUUUAUUUGUUUGGCUUUCUUUUAUCAUUAAUGCCCAUUUCUAUAUGAACUAGAAUUCAGCAAGUGGAUCUGCAUUUUCUGCCUCAGAGAUAUGGAAGUGUAAAAUACACUCAGAAUUUCCUGUGUCACCAUGCUAAUGUAAGAUGAUGUAUAAUAUUAGUCACCUGGAGCUGAGGAGCCAAAGUACCACAAACUGAGUGGCUUAAACAGAAACUUACUCUCCCACAGUCCUGGGGCCUGGAAGUUUGAGUGAAGAUGUUGAGGACGGAUCUGUCCCUUUGCCCUGGCUUCCAGUGACUUGCUGGCAGUGGUCAGUGUUAGCUGGUGUGUGGAAGCAUCUCCCUGAUUUCUGCCUUUACCUUCAUGUGUCCUCCUCCCUGUAUGCAGAUCUGUGUUCUGGUUUCCCCUGCUUCUAAGGGAACCAUGUGGCACUUGGAGCCCACUUUACCUCAGUGGGAUCUCAUCUUCACUAAAUGAUAUACACAGUAACUGUAUUUCCAAACAGGGACACAGUCUGAAGUCCUGAGGGUUAGGGCUUCACCACCCAUGAGUUUGGGGAGGCACCAUAGUCCAACCCAUACCAAGUACUGCAUGCCCAGCCUUUGCUACGGAAGUAUACGCGGAACUUGAUUCAAAGUUUUCCAGUGAUUAGUAUCUCCUCAGGUCCAGAGUGCCCUAGGAUGUGUCUAAUGUUAUGUCCAACAGGAAGUUAGAAAUUUAUGAGGGAGGGACUGUCAAUCUUUCCAGCCCUUCCUAGGAACUUCUGUAAUUUUUGCCAUACCAACACAUACACUAUUAUUUCAUAUUUUUCCGACAUGAUUCCACAUAUUUUCUUUAAGUGUGCUUUAAGAAGGAAUGCAGUGUCACUGUCAUGCAUGACUAUCAUAAGUGACACACAGAAUAUGAUGAAAUCAUAAAGAUUUGAUUUUGUGACUUUACUAAGACUCUAAGCCUACGGAGUGCUCAGUUUCUUUUUAGAGACAGAUGGAAGAAAUGUUAAGGAUUAGAGAGCACCAGAUGGAGAUAUUCUUCUUGCUGGGAUCAGGACUGAAAGAAACUAGGGAAGAGAAAAGUUCCAGUGUCAUUUAAUGCCUUAUGUGCCUGUGGCCAGCAGUAGCUCAGAUACCAUUAUGUGACACAGCACCCCUACUUUGGGAAACAUCAAACCAGUCCAGUUUCUUUGUUUAAUGAGUGAGGCGCUUAAGACCUCUGAGAAGUUAAAGUUUUGACAAUCUCUAGGUCCCCUUGCAUAACAGUGGCAAACCUGAAUCUAGACCAGUAGAAAGGGAAUAUUGGAUAGUAGCCUUGGGAAACUUUUUGAUUAUCACAAGUAAGAAAAGCUACUAGCAUCUAAUGGGUAAAGACCAGGAACAUAGCUAGAUAUCCUACAGGGCAUAGGGUUUUAUAUAUAUAUGGAAGUUUUGUUGGUUAUCAAAUUAUGUCUAUUACAUAUUAUGUUUGUGGCUGAAGACAGUCCUCUUCACUCAGUGUGGCCAGAUAAACCAAAAGGCAGGACCCUUGUGGGUUAACAUUUCCAAAUUCCAAGGCUUCUAAACCUUGUGUAGUGGUGAAAGUUACAGCAUCUGGUUCUCCCAGUAGUUCCUUAACCAUAUGGCAUUAAACCUUACCUUUAGUCCUUCACAUCUUCCUUCACACAAAAGCAGGAGAAUUGAGGAGGUUUGGGGAAGCAGGAUUUUUCAAGGAAACACUGACAUGUUUUACAUUCAUCUGACAAUGCCCGAAAGUGAGUUGGCUUUUGGGGGCAUCUGUCUUGGUGGGACAAUGAGACAAGCCAGUGCAUUCUUACAAUACAAACCCAGCUAGACACAGGAGCUGUGAGAAUUGUGAGAUGGUGCAGCAGUGCUCGGCAGCUACACGGAAGGAGGUAAAUAUACAGCCAGUGAUACAGGAACUAAGAAUGCUAAGCCUUUUGUAUGCCUACAAUUUGAAAUUCUAUCCACUUCUCUCUGAAACACUCAAUGUAAUUGGCAUACCCACUCUGCCCCUGGCUAUGAACGUGACCUUCAGGUUGCAUACAUUAGUGAAACUUUGCUUGCUCCCAUCUUGGUUUAAUACAUGAUUCUGCAGACUGUGUGCCUGCCUGGGCUGUGUCUGCUGUGGAGUCGGACUGUGGUGACUUUCUGCACUCAUGUCUGAGCCCUGAGAGACAAGUCAUGUGUUUAUUCUCUGCUCCCCUACAAAUUUAGCCAUGCAUGCAAACUGAAGCUCCGUGAGACUUUAGCAAUAAAUUUGAGGCUUCUGAGACUUUUGACAAGAAAGAGGGUCAACCUUUGCCAUUCUCUUCUCUAGCUCUUUAACCCUGUCUUCUUGGAUUAGUCAUGUCUGUGGAUGGGGUAGUGAGUGUCCAGCUUGCAUCUUGAGGGUCCAGUGUCAAAGUCAGAAGUCUGAUGUGUGAUGACCAUGGUCCUUAUUGCUGUGUUACCUAACUCUCAAUAGAAGAGAAUCACAGCACAGACACUCCCCUAAAGGCAGCAAUGUGAUCCUGUCAAGGAGCCGGGCAUGUGUUCCCUGUUGCCUGUCCUAAAAGGCACCCAUCACCUUGGAAUGAGAAAAGAACCAAGUCCACCAACUUAAGAUUGAGCUUCUAGU
This is a long non-coding RNA of Cavia porcellus (domestic guinea pig), 11997 nucleotides long. RefSeq lists it as uncharacterized. The record is from RefSeq and is a predicted model, not a curated record. The transcript is spliced from 3 exons. Lineage: Eukaryota; Metazoa; Chordata; Mammalia; Rodentia; Caviidae.